AGCAAAUGAAGUAAAAACACCCAUGAGGGUAAUUUUUCAAGAGAUGUGCAAGCAUGGAAUGGUGGAAAAGAUGGUGGAAGAUGAAAACUCAACUGAUUGUGAGUUGCAUGGCGAAGUGGGUCAUACCCUAGAGGAGUGUCCAGAAUUUAAGAUCUUAUUGCAGAAAAUGUUGGAUAUGAGGUUGAUCGCAGUAGAGAGGGGGCCUUCGUAUCAAG
Molecule: long non-coding RNA, 215 nt
Filed under: Lupinus angustifolius (narrow-leaved blue lupine)
Lineage: Eukaryota; Viridiplantae; Streptophyta; Magnoliopsida; Fabales; Fabaceae
Description: long non-coding RNA (LANG_LNC000010)
Source: RNAcentral